UACGUAGGGAGCAAGCGUUGUCCGGAAUCAUUGGGCGUAAAGCGCGCGUAGGUGGCCUCGUAAGUCCGCUGUGAAAGUCAAAGGCUCAACCUUUGAAAGCCGGUGGAUACUGUGGGGCUAGAGUACGGAAGAGGCGAGUGGAAUUCCUGGUGUAGCGGUGGAAUGCGCAGAUAUCAGGAGGAACACCAAUAGCGAAGGCAGCUCGCUGGGACGUUACUGACACUGAGGCGCGAAAGCGUGGGGAGCAAACAGG
Molecule: ribosomal RNA, 253 nt
Filed under: uncultured bacterium
Lineage: Bacteria
Description: partial 16S ribosomal RNA
Rfam family: Bacterial small subunit ribosomal RNA
Source: RNAcentral